UAGGGAAUAUUGGUCAAUGGACGGGAGUCUGAACCAGCCAUGCCGCGUGCAGGAAGACGGCCUACUGGGUUGUAAACUGCUUUUAUCAGGGAAGAAAAGGCCCUUGCGAGGGAGCUUGCCGGUACCUGAAGAAUAAGCACCGGCUAACUCCGUGCCAGCAGCCGCGGUAAUACGGAGGGUGCGAGCGUUGUCCGGUUAUAUUGGGUUUAAAGGGUGCGUAGGCGGCUUAUUAUGUCAGUGGUGAAAGGUAUCAGCUUAUCUGAUGAAGUGCCAUUCAAACUGAUAGGCUUGAGUACAGACGAGGUAGGCGGAAUUUAUGGUGUAGCGGUGAAAUGCAUAGAUACCAUAAAGAACACCGAUAGCGCAGGCAGCUUACUAGACUGAGACUGACGCUGAGGCACGAAAGCGUGGGGAGCGAACAGGAUUAGAUACCCCUGUAGUCC
This 443-nucleotide ribosomal RNA is filed under the name uncultured prokaryote. RNAcentral's name for it is "bacterial SSU rRNA". It matches the Rfam family "Bacterial small subunit ribosomal RNA", at positions 355 to 796 of the family's 1533-position model. The record is from RNAcentral.